This 446-nucleotide ribosomal RNA is filed under the name uncultured bacterium. RNAcentral's name for it is "partial 16S ribosomal RNA". It matches the Rfam family "Bacterial small subunit ribosomal RNA", at positions 338 to 795 of the family's 1533-position model. The record is from RNAcentral.
CCUACGGGAGGCAGCAGUCGAGAAUCAUUCACAAUGGGGGAAACCCUGAUGGUGCGACGCCGCGUGGGGGAAUGAAGGUCUUCGGAUUGUAAACCCCUGUCAUGUGGGAGCAAAUUAAAAAGAUAGUACCACAAGAGGAAGAGACGGCUAACUCUGUGCCAGCAGCCGCGGUAAUACAGAGGUCUCAAGCGUUGUUCGGAAUCACUGGGCGUAAAGCGUGCGUAGGCGGUUGCGUAAGUCGUGUGUGAAAGGCGCGGGCUCAACCCGCGGACGGCACAUGAUACUGCGAGACUAGAGUAAGGGAGGGGGAACCGGAAUUCUCGGUGUAGCAGUGAAAUGCGUAGAUAUCGAGAGGAACACUCGUGGCGAAGGCGGGUUCCUGGACAUUAACUGACGCUGAGGCACGAAGGCCAGGGGAGCGAAAGGGAUUAGAUACCCUUGUAGUC